GACGAACGCUGGCGGCGUGCUUAACACAUGCAAGUCGAACGGAAAGGCCCGGCUUUUGUUGUGGGCUCGAGUUGCGAACGGGUGGGUAACACGUGAGUAACCUGCCUGAGACUUUGGCAUCACUUCAGGAAACUUGGGCUAAUACCUGAUAUGAGCUCCUGGUGCAUGGUGUGGUUCGGAAAGUUGCGGCGGUUGGGGUUGGGCUUGCGGCUUAUCUGCUUGUUGGUGGGGUAGUGGCUUAGCAAGGCGUUGACGGGUAGCGGGCCUGAGAGGGUGACCGGCGACAUUGGGAAUGAGAUAAGGCCCAGACGCAGACGGGAGGCAGGAGUGGGGAAUAGUGCACAAUGGGCGGAAGGCAGAUGCAGCAACGACGGGUGCGGGAUUACGGCCUUCGGGUUGUAAACCGCAUUCGCCUGUGAUGAAGCGUGAGUGACGGUAAUGGGUAAAGAAGCACCGGCUAACUACGUG
This 468-nucleotide ribosomal RNA is filed under the name uncultured bacterium. RNAcentral describes it as "partial 16S ribosomal RNA". It matches the Rfam family "Bacterial small subunit ribosomal RNA", at positions 28 to 507 of the family's 1533-position model. The record is from RNAcentral.